AUCCAGCUGACGAGUGUCAAAUGAGACGAAACGCGUGUCCUGGAU
This is a non-coding RNA of Schistosoma haematobium, 45 nucleotides long. NCBI's taxonomy places the organism in Eukaryota, Metazoa, Platyhelminthes, Trematoda, Strigeidida, Schistosomatidae. The record is from Rfam.